GGGGGGGGGGGGGGGGGGGGGUGGGGCGGGCGGGGCGGAGGGGGAGGCCCCGUUGGGGGGACGCGGGUGGCGAACGGGUGCGGCGCACGUGAGUAACCUGCCCUGGGCUUCGGGAUAACUUCAGGACACUGGGGCUAAGACCGGCGAUGCCUCCUUGCUGCAUGUGGGGGGUUUGAAAGCUUCGGCGGUGUUGGAUGGACUCGCGGCUUCUCAGCUUGUUGGUGGGGGAGUGGCUUACCACGGCUUUGACGGGUAGCCCGCCUGAGAGGGCGACCGGCCACAUUGGGACUGAGAUACGGCCCAGACUCCUACGGGAGGCAGCAGUGGGGAAUAUUGCACAAUGGGCGGAAGCCUGAUGCAGCAACGCCGCGUGCGGGAUGACGGCCUUCGGGUUGUAAACCGCUUUCAGCAGGGGCGAAGCUUGUGGUGACGGUACCUGCAGAAGAAGCACCGGCUAACUACGUG
Molecule: ribosomal RNA, 465 nt
Filed under: uncultured bacterium
Lineage: Bacteria
Description: partial 16S ribosomal RNA
Rfam family: Bacterial small subunit ribosomal RNA
Source: RNAcentral